Molecule: long non-coding RNA, 235 nt
Filed under: Phoenix dactylifera (date palm)
Lineage: Eukaryota; Viridiplantae; Streptophyta; Magnoliopsida; Arecales; Arecaceae
Description: long non-coding RNA (PDAC_LNC008888)
Source: RNAcentral
GGUUCACUGUAGGAGUAGGGUAUGCACUUACAUGAAAUCUAUCGAUCUUGAUAGAAGAGGAGUGAUCCUAUGCGAUUUAUUAGACUGAGUUCUAAGACCUUGGCCAGGGCAGCAAUAUAAAGUGGAGAAAGAGUUUUCCACUUCCGACUCAAGUUGAAUAAAUCUAGACAUAUGACAGACGACGGGGUUUGACGAGUUAUCCAUGACCUCCGGUCUGCAGGGAUUCACGAUAGNN